Long non-coding RNA from Dreissena polymorpha, 1787 nucleotides. RefSeq lists it as uncharacterized. The transcript has 2 exons. The record is from RefSeq and is a predicted model, not a curated record. NCBI's taxonomy places the organism in Eukaryota, Metazoa, Mollusca, Bivalvia, Myida, Dreissenidae.
GGCAUUUUAUUUUUAAAACACAGUAUUCUUCAUGUGUAUGCCCCAAAUUGGCGACUUAGUUUUUGAACUGUCUGUGGGUCGGUCGGUCAGCCCGUCAUACUUUUCGUGCCUGUUCUCUAAUUCAAAUAGUUUUCAUCCGAUCUUCACCAAACUUGGUCAGAAGCUGUGUCUAGACCAAGUUCGAACAUGGCCAUGUGGAAUCCUGGGUUUCUUACAAUUGUAUGGAUUAUUUUUUAUAUUGUUACAAAGUUGAAAUAUGGGGCAUCCGUGUCGUGUGGACACAUUUCUUGUUUGAGAUUUUUUCAAUAGAUCCAUCAAUUAUAUAUAUGCAAAGUAGUAGGCACAUUUUAAAGCAUAUGCUAAUGUUUGUAAAUUGAUUAUUGUAAAAGCAUUAAUGUGCUGUGUAAUCAUUUCUUUAAAUUAAAAUCGGAGAUAACCCAUGAAGGUGCAAGCACAUUUUCCAAUUUGAAAUUCUGUUUUCCUGUUCAGGCAUUCAAAGGACAGUGCAAGAAGUACGAGCGGGACCAACAUACUGUUCAAACAUAGAGGACCAAGAUGUUGAAGUUACAACUUUACCCCCACCUGUACCCAAGCCUGGUCCAGCAGGGCUAGACACUACUGGGAAGGAAUUUGUUUUCUUUGAUUUGGAAACAAGAGGGUUAGAGCGUACUUCUCACAUAAUUCAGAUAGCUGCAGUGCAUUCAACUGGUCAGUUUUCAACAUAUGUGAUGCCUGAGAAGAAGAUGUCCUUGAAAGCGUCAGAAAUAAGUGGAGUGACAGUUGUUGGAGACUCUAUGCUUGUUAAGGGACAUAAAGUAACAGCUGUCCCCAUCAAAUCUGCAUUGACACGUUUUAUAACAUUCUUACAGAAAUUUUCACCAGAAAUUUUAGUUGGGCAUAACAUAGAGUGUAUCUGAUUGUAAAGUGUUGCUCCAUGCUGUCCAUACUUGUGGAAAAAUGUUUGAGUUUCAGCAAAAUAUUUGUGGCUUUUUAGAUACUUAAAAAUGUUAAAAGAAAUAUUACCAAAUAUAAAAUCAUAUAAGUUAUAAGUCAAGGUAUUACAAGGAAAGUUGCAGGAAGUGGAUUGCAACUUAAACAUUUGAGUAUUGAAUCAAAAAGAAACGGACUGAGUGGUUUGAGGAGCCCCCUGUCAGAGGUUACAAACGGACAAAUCAGAGUAACAAAAUCAGAGAAAAUAAUAUGUGCAAUAGCGAGUUAUUUGUUGCCUGACAUCUAACCAAUUGUAAUUUGCAUCUUGUAUAUAGAUUAGCUAUGAAAUUGUUUUUCCUUCUCGAUGUUGUGAUUCUUAUGUCAGUUGUAUUUCUCAUGUUUCACCUAAGUUGAAAGAUAUUUUUGGCAGUGCAUUAAACCACAGAUGGUGUGUGAAACAUUAUUGCCCCGCUUAUUGUAUUCAAUGUUGUUUUUAGCUCCACUGGCCAAAGGCCAGCAGGGCUUAUGUCAUGAUCCUGUGUCCGUCGUGCGUGCGUCAACUUUUCCUUUAAACAUCUUCUUCUAUGUUAUAAAUAUUAAGUUAUAAAUAUAGUCUUAAAUAAUGACGACCGACUGUUGGUGACUCAAGUUAUAUUUCUUUUUUUUGUAUUUUGAUUAUUUAGAAUGCAAAAAAUAUAAUGCUAUAUAUCAUAUAUUUGACUGACUCUGUUACAUAUGUACUCAUGUUUGUCAUAUAUUCAGUGCAAAUGUGUAGUACAUGCACAAUGUUGAUAUGUAAAUUUUACAUUGAUUAUAGCUUGAAAGCAAUGUAUUCGUAUUGUAUUAAGCGUAUGGUG